CAAAUUCUACUGAGAACUCUGUCUCAGUUCUCGGUGAAAAAUCGCCGAGCUUUUCGGCCAUAACCGAGACCGUUGUAAGUGGGUACGCUAUAGGAUAAUGGCCCAUUAUUAUAAAAAACAUUUCAGGAAAAGUACGACUUUCAGAUUGAUAAGUAGAUUAAAGUUUUGAAAAUAAAAAUGAACAACUUUUAAAACUUUAGUUUUCCUCAAUUAGCGAAAAUACAUAAAAACAUUAACUACAAUAUUUGUACAAAAAAAAAAAUUCUUUACGAGUAGUUUUAUUGAAAUAUCUUCAAAUCUUUCCAACUCUAAGUAUCUCUAAGCUCGACAUAUAAAAAGUACCCAAAAUCCCUUAACAUGGGACAAAAAGGCGUUUAUAAAUUAUUGGUUAACACCUCCAUUUUAAACGUGUUAUCGCACGACGGUCAGUCAUAUCGGAAUCGAGGAAUAGUCAAUAUCUUUAUCUAAUCUUAAGAUUACCUGGCCAUUUGGUGGUUUGAACUAGUUUUGAAGGGAAUAAAGAGUCACGAUGUUGGGUCCAGUAGCCAGAACCACGCUUUUGGGUAGAAAUGUGAUGAGGAAUUUUGUCAGAAAUGGCUCUCAUGGUGGUAUUCCUGGAGAGAACCUUCCAUUCGACAUUCACAGCCGUGCAAAGGUGACAUUCCACGUGUUCUGGUACACACUUACUGGCAUUGCUGCACCUUUCCUCAUUGUUUUGCACCAGCUUAACAAGAAGUGAAGUAAAUUCAAGAUAUAUUUUAUAGUAUACAUAAGCUAUUAUGUAAAAUUAAAAUGUAGCAUACAUAUUUCUCAAUGAAAAUAAAUAUAAUUUAAUAUGAUAUUGACUUUUAUUUGAUAUUAAUAAUGUGUCAACGUAAUAGUUGCGUUCAGUAAAAUUUACAGAACUAGGUACCAAAAAUUAAGUAAUAGCAACGAACGCAGUGGUAGAAUUUGUAAAAAAAAAAAAAAAUUACGUCUGCGACAGAGUAUCGAAUUUUCUCACAUUUUCGCGUAACUUGCAAAUUAAUUAUCAAAAUGUUGGGUCCCUUAGCUCGUGCUUCUAACAAACUGGGAAGAAAUGUAAUGACUAAUUUCAUCAGGAACCACUCCCAUGGCGGUGUUCCUGGCGAGAACUUGCCAUUCGACAUCUCCAACCGCUACAAGCUGACAGCCUAUUUGAUGGUAUAUAUUGGUUCAGGACUUUCUGCACCAUUCCUGAUCUGCCGUCACCAGCUUCUUAAGAAGUAAAUUGUUGUAACAGUUCAAACAAUUCUUUGCUCCACAAGCUGAAGAAUGUUUUAGUUAUAAGCUAGCAAUCUGUAUAUUAAAUUAUAAUGUAAUGUUAUAAAUCACAUGGUCUUUUAUUAAAAUAAUGGAAACACUUAAUAAUUUAGGUAAUAGCACAAAUGAUUCACACAAAAAUUCAAAUUUACGACUAAUUUAAAGGUCGGAACUAGAAACGGAACCUUCACACAUCAGUUUAAUGAAUGAAAAUUGUUUUAUAUUUACUUUAGCAUAUUAAAAAAUUAAUCGUUAACGGGACUGCUAAAAAUUCCUUAUAUCGAUGGACCCCAUAUAUCAAGCAGAAUUAUGUCAUAAACUCCAUACCAAUAAUAAUUUAGGAUUUAGGUAAUAAAAAAUUUAUGAAGUAAAAUAAUCUUUUUCGUCAUAAAAAUCGAUCGCUGCUCGGUUUAGUUAAAAAAAAAAAAAAAGAGUACAAUAAAAA
Molecule: unclassified non-coding RNA, 1726 nt
Filed under: Melitaea cinxia (Glanville fritillary)
Lineage: Eukaryota; Metazoa; Arthropoda; Insecta; Lepidoptera; Nymphalidae
Description: misc RNA ENSMCXG00005017279.1
Source: RNAcentral